RNAcentral lists this ribosomal RNA (1737 nucleotides) under Salmonella enterica subsp. enterica serovar Rubislaw. Its description in RNAcentral is "bacterial LSU rRNA". It matches the Rfam family "Bacterial large subunit ribosomal RNA", at positions 1223 to 2925 of the family's 2925-position model. The record is from RNAcentral. Lineage: Bacteria; Pseudomonadati; Pseudomonadota; Gammaproteobacteria; Enterobacterales; Enterobacteriaceae.
GUUGGGUAGGGGAGCGUUCUGUAAGCCUGCGAAGGUGGCCUGUGAGGGUUGCUGGAGGUAUCAGAAGUGCGAAUGCUGACAUAAGUAACGAUAAAGCGGGUGAAAAGCCCGCUCGCCGGAAGACCAAGGGUUCCUGUCCAACGUUAAUCGGGGCAGGGUGAGUCGACCCCUAAGGCGAGGCCGAAAGGCGUAGUCGAUGGGAAACGGGUUAAUAUUCCCGUACUUGGUGUUACUGCGAAGGGGGGACGGAGAAGGCUAUGUUGGCCGGGCGACGGUUGUCCCGGUUUAAGCGUGUAGGUGUGUGUUCCAGGUAAAUCCGGUUCACUUUAACACUGAGGCGUGACGACGAGGCACUACGGUGCUGAAGCAACAAAUGCCCUGCUUCCAGGAAAAGCCUCUAAGCAUCAGGUAACAUCAAAUCGUACCCCAAACCGACACAGGUGGUCAGGUAGAGAAUACCAAGGCGCUUGAGAGAACUCGGGUGAAGGAACUAGGCAAAAUGGUGCCGUAACUUCGGGAGAAGGCACGCUGACACGUAGGUGAAGUGAUUUACUCAUGGAGCUGAAGUCAGUCGAAGAUACCAGCUGGCUGCAACUGUUUAUUAAAAACACAGCACUGUGCAAACACGAAAGUGGACGUAUACGGUGUGACGCCUGCCCGGUGCCGGAAGGUUAAUUGAUGGGGUCAGCGCAAGCGAAGCUCCUGAUCGAAGCCCCGGUAAACGGCGGCCGUAACUAUAACGGUCCUAAGGUAGCGAAAUUCCUUGUCGGGUAAGUUCCGACCUGCACGAAUGGCGUAAUGAUGGCCAGGCUGUCUCCACCCGAGACUCAGUGAAAUUGAACUCGCUGUGAAGAUGCAGUGUACCCGCGGCAAGACGGAAAGACCCCGUGAACCUUUACUAUAGCUUGACACUGAACAUUGAGCCUUGAUGUGUAGGAUAGGUGGGAGGCUUUGAAGUGUGGACGCCAGUCUGCAUGGAGCCGACCUUGAAAUACCACCCUUUAAUGUUUGAUGUUCUAACGUGGACCCGUGAUCCGGGUUGCGGACAGUGUCUGGUGGGUAGUUUGACUGGGGCGGUCUCCUCCUAAAGAGUAACGGAGGAGCACGAAGGUUGGCUAAUCCUGGUCGGACAUCAGGAGGUUAGUGCAAUGGCAUAAGCCAGCUUGACUGCGAGCGUGACGGCGCGAGCAGGUGCGAAAGCAGGUCAUAGUGAUCCGGUGGUUCUGAAUGGAAGGGCCAUCGCUCAACGGAUAAAAGGUACUCCGGGGAUAACAGGCUGAUACCGCCCAAGAGUUCAUAUCGACGGCGGUGUUUGGCACCUCGAUGUCGGCUCAUCACAUCCUGGGGCUGAAGUAGGUCCCAAGGGUAUGGCUGUUCGCCAUUUAAAGUGGUACGCGAGCUGGGUUUAGAACGUCGUGAGACAGUUCGGUCCCUAUCUGCCGUGGGCGCUGGAGAACUGAGGGGGGCUGCUCCUAGUACGAGAGGACCGGAGUGGACGCAUCACUGGUGUUCGGGUUGUCAUGCCAAUGGCACUGCCCGGUAGCUAAAUGCGGAAGAGAUAAGUGCUGAAAGCAUCUAAGCACGAAACUUGCCCCGAGAUGAGUUCUCCCUGAGACUUUAGGUCUCCUGAAGGAACGUUGAAGACGACGACGUUGAUAGGCCGGGUGUGUAAGCGCAGCGAUGCGUUGAGCUAACCGGUACUAAUGAACCGUGAGGCUUAACCUUACAACGCCGAAG